Molecule: ribosomal RNA, 200 nt
Filed under: uncultured bacterium
Lineage: Bacteria
Description: partial 16S ribosomal RNA
Rfam family: Bacterial small subunit ribosomal RNA
Source: RNAcentral
UACAGAGGUGGCAAGCGUUGUUCGGAAUUACUGGGCGUAAAGGGCGCGUAGGUGGCCUUCUUAGUCAGACGUGAAAUCCCUGGGCUUAACUCAGGAACUGCGUCUGAUACUGGAAGGCUCGAGUUCGGGAGAGGAAUGUGGAAUUCCAGGUGUAGCGGUGAAAUGCGUAGAUAUCUGGAGGAACACCGGUGGCGAAGGCG